AUACGAAGGGGGCUAGCGUUGCUCGGAAUGACUGGGCGUAAAGGGCGUGUAGGCGGUUGAUACAGUCAGAUGUGAAAUCCCCGGGCUUAACCUGGGAGCUGCAAUUUGAGACGUAUUGACUAGAGUGUGAGAGAGGGUUAUGGAAUUCCCAGUGUAGAGGUGAAAUUCGUAGAUAUUGGGAAGAACACCGGUGGCGAAGGCGGCAACCUGGCUCAUUACUGACGCUGAGGCGCGAAAGCGUGGGGAGC
RNAcentral lists this ribosomal RNA (248 nucleotides) under uncultured bacterium. RNAcentral describes it as "partial 16S ribosomal RNA". It matches the Rfam family "Bacterial small subunit ribosomal RNA", at positions 523 to 769 of the family's 1533-position model. The record is from RNAcentral.